UGGAGAGAGACUUACUCUGCAGCAAAAGCAAAGCAUCAAAUAAAACAUUUCUGUGAAAGACCUGGCAAGCGGGCAUGUCAGCUCUCUGAAGACGUCCUCUUGUUCAGCAAAGUGAAAUAGUCUAUAGAAAUAGGGCUGGAACAAAGGGCCCUGGUGGCUUUGUCCUGGAUUCCCUAUGAAUGGUCCUGUGCUAGGGGCUAGGAAGACAAAGAGAAACAGAGUCACAUCCUCCCACAAAAAUCCAUGAGAUGUCGGAGAGCCGAACUUGUAAACAGCCAUCAUCAACACAAAGAAGGAUGCACUGAUGCUCUCUAGAGGCUCACAGGAAAUGAUUCAUGGGCAUAGAGGUGUGCAAUUUGCUUCCUGCCCCAGCCCUGACCCUGAGAUGCAGCAUGGAGGGAGUAGAGGGGUGGGGUUUGCGAAGUCACUUCCAGUCAUCGUGGGACCUUUAUGGAAACCUGGGCUCCACUCCACAGGAUGAGUCUCAACUGGAACCCUUGCCCAUUGGGCUCACUGUUCCAAUCUAAAGGGCAGGCUUUCCACUACUCUUUGGGACUUGUAGUUUGUGGGUUUUUUUCACAUGCACAUCAUCUUACUUACAGUUCCCCAAGAAUAAAAGCUUUCCAUCUCAAUUCUGGGCACUCUAAGUUUACCUGUAUUUCCUUUUCACUUUAAACAAAGGUAGUCAUAGGAGCCCGUCAUUUCCCAUGACUCAGGGAAUUGAGUUCAUGUUGCUUGCCUUGUGAGUGCUUACAGCCUGUAUGUCAUAGCAUUUAGAAAUGUCACUGAACCUAGGUUCGGCUGCUCGCUCCUUGAGAGCCAAACUGGAGACACAAGAGUUGGUCGGAGGAGAAGUAGGUUUAUGAGGAGCUGGCAACCUGAGGAGAUGGUGGGCUAGUGUCACAAAGACCAUCUCGAAUUUCUCAGGCUGGCCAGGGGUGUUAUGCGAGGGGGAGUCUGGGGGAAUUAUGUACAAGAGCUGAAUACAUGCUGGUCAGUCUGUCUAGUCUCAAUGACUGUCUUGAAUAAUGGGCCACCUGGUGGUCUGGCUGGCAUUAGCUUGAUUGCAACAGGAAUACAGAUGAACGGCUCAGCCUUCUUUCCAGAGUGGGAUGUUCUGCAACCUGGAUUCCAUGCUUAGCGUUUCAGGUCAGUCCCUGCAGUUCUUUAAGCAAAG
This 1177-nucleotide long non-coding RNA is filed under the name Homo sapiens (human). Its description in RNAcentral is "HSALNT0100457". Lineage: Eukaryota; Metazoa; Chordata; Mammalia; Primates; Hominidae. The record is from RNAcentral.